Cinara cedri is the source of this 288-nucleotide non-coding RNA. The record is from the annotation of a GenBank genome assembly. NCBI's taxonomy places the organism in Eukaryota, Metazoa, Arthropoda, Insecta, Hemiptera, Aphididae.
AUAGUUUUUACGGGUUUCAUCACAAUGCGAACUUAAAACGUUUAUAUAUAUAAAAUAAAAAUCACAGCUACAUGGUGGGCGAGUGUACCUAUGCAGGUGCGUAUAGAGUAGAUGCGUGUGUGUGUGUGUGUGUGUGUGUAUGUGUAUGUGUGUGUAAUGUGUGACUACAGGGACUGCAGAGUGGAAGAUGUGGGGAGGGAAUACCCGGGGAAGGAAGAAGGGUACGGUCAAAAUCAAUAAGCGAACCGGAGUGGGUUUUGCGUGUGGUGUGUGUACGAAAUGAACGGC